AGAGUUUGAUCAUGGCUCAGAACGAACGCUGGCGGCAGGCUUAACACAUGCAAGUCGAGCGCCCCGCAAGGGGAGCGGCAGACGGGUGAGUAACGCGUGGGAAUCUACCCAUCCCUACGGAACAACUCCGGGAAACUGGAGCUAAUACCGUAUACGCCCUUCGGGGGAAAGAUUUAUCGGGGAUGGAUGAGCCCGCGUUGGAUUAGCUAGUUGGUGGGGUAAUGGCCUACCAAGGCGACGAUCCAUAGCUGGUCUGAGAGGAUGAUCAGCCACACUGGGACUGAGACACGGCCCAGACUCCUACGGGAGGCAGCAGUGGGGAAUAUUGGACAAUGGGCGAAAGCCUGAUCCAGCCAUGCCGCGUGAGUGAUGAAGGCCCUAGGGUUGUAAAGCUCUUUCAACGGUGAAGAUAAUGACGGUAACCGUAGAAGAAGCCCCGGCUAACUUCGUG
RNAcentral lists this ribosomal RNA (451 nucleotides) under uncultured bacterium. RNAcentral's name for it is "bacterial SSU rRNA". It matches the Rfam family "Bacterial small subunit ribosomal RNA", at positions 8 to 507 of the family's 1533-position model. The record is from RNAcentral.